GAUGAACGCUAGCUACAGGCUUAACACAUGCAAGUCGAGGGGCAGCAUGAACUUAGCUUGCUAAGUUUGAUGGCGACCGGCGCACGGGUGAGUAACACGUAUCCAACCUGCCGAUGACUCGGGGAUAGCCUUUCGAAAGAAAGAUUAAUACCCGAUGGCAUAGUUCUUCCGCAUGGUAGAACUAUUAAAGAAUUUCGGUCAUCGAUGGGGAUGCGUUCCAUUAGGUUGUUGGCGGGGUAACGGCCCACCAAGCCUUCGAUGGAUAGGGGUUCUGAGAGGAAGGUCCCCCACAUUGGAACUGAGACACGGUCCAAACUCCUACGGGAGGCAGCAGUGAGGAAGAUUGGUCAAUGGACGAGAGUCUGAACCAGCCAAGUAGCGUGAAGGAUGACUGCCCUAUGGGUGGUAAACUUCUUUUAUACGGGAAUAAAGUGAGGCACGUGUGCCUUUUUGUAUGUACCGUAUGAAUAAGGAUCGGCUAACUCCGUG
RNAcentral lists this ribosomal RNA (489 nucleotides) under uncultured bacterium. Its description in RNAcentral is "partial 16S ribosomal RNA". It matches the Rfam family "Bacterial small subunit ribosomal RNA", at positions 28 to 507 of the family's 1533-position model. The record is from RNAcentral.